Molecule: ribosomal RNA, 253 nt
Filed under: uncultured bacterium
Lineage: Bacteria
Description: partial 16S ribosomal RNA
Rfam family: Bacterial small subunit ribosomal RNA
Source: RNAcentral
UACGGAGGGAGCUAGCGUUGUUCGGAAUUACUGGGCGUAAAGGGCGCGUAGGCGGCGAACCAAGUCAGAUGUGAAAGUCCUGGGCUUAACCUGGGGACUGCAUUUGAUACUGGUUUGCUUGAAUUCGGGAGAGGAUAGCGGAAUUCCCAGUGUAGAGGUGAAAUUCGUAGAUAUUGGGAAGAACACCGGUGGCGAAGGCGGCUAUCUGGACCGACAUUGACGCUGAGGCGCGAAAGCGUGGGGAGCAAACAGG